CAUGCCUAACACAUGCAAGUCGAACGGAAACGAUGCUAGUUUGCUAGCAGGCGUCGAGUGGCGGACGGGUGAGUAAUGUAUAGGGAUCUGCCUAGUAGUGGGGGACAACAUGUGGAAACGCAUGCUAAUACCGCAUACGCUCUACGGAGGAAAGUGGGGGACCUUUCGGGGCCUCAUGCUACUAGAUGAACCUAUAUUGGAUUAGCUUGUUGGUAAGGUAAUGGCUUACCAAGGCUACGAUCCAUAGCUGGUUUGAGAGAAUGAUCAGCCACACUGGGACUGAGACACGGCCCAGACUCCUACGGGAGGCAGCAGUGGGGAAUAUUGCACAAUGGGCGCAAGCCUGAUGCAGCAAUGCCGCGUGUGUGAAGAAGGCCUUAGGGUUGUAAAGCACUUUCAGACGUGAGGAAAAGUAAUAAUUUAAUAAAUUGUUACCUUGACGUUAACGUCAGAAGAAGGACCGGCUAACUCCGUGCCAGCAGCCGCGGUAAUACGGAGGGGUCCAAGCGUUAAUCGAAAUUACUGGGCGUAAAGCGCGCGUAGGGCGGAUAUUUAAGUCAGAUGUGAAAUCCCUGGGCUCAACCUAGGAACUGCAUUUGAUACUGGAUAUCUAGAGUAUGGUAGAGGUGAGUGGAAUUUCAGGUGUAGCGGUGAAAUGCGUAGAGAUCUGAAGGAACAUCAGUGGCGAAGGCGACUCACUGGGCCAUUACUGACGCUGAGGUGCGAAAGCGUGGGUAGCAAACAGGAUUAGAUACCCUGGUAGUCCACGCCCUAAAACGAUGUCAACUAGGUGUAUGGGAGUUUAACUCCUGUGUAUCGAAGCUAACGCGAUAAGUUGACCGCCUGGGGAGUACGGUCGCAAGACUAAAACUCAAAUGAAUUGACGGGGGCCCGCACAAGCGGUGGAGCAUGUGGUUUAAUUCGAUGCAACGCGAAGAACCUUACCUGGUCUUGACAUGUAGCGAAGGUUUUAGAGAUAGAACUGUGCCUUCGGGAACGCUAACACAGGUGCUGCAUGGCUGUCGUCAGCUCGUGUCGUGAGAUGU
RNAcentral lists this ribosomal RNA (1046 nucleotides) under uncultured bacterium. RNAcentral's name for it is "bacterial SSU rRNA". It matches the Rfam family "Bacterial small subunit ribosomal RNA", at positions 43 to 1075 of the family's 1533-position model. The record is from RNAcentral.